GGAUCAGGUAGGGAUACCCGCUGAACUUAUGCAUAUCAAUAAGCGGAGGAAAAGAAACCAACAGGGAUUGCCCUAGUAACGGCGAGUGAAGCGGCAACAGCUCAAAUUUGAAAUCUGGCGUCUUUGGCGUCCGAGUUGUAAUUUGCAGAGGGCGCUUUGGCAUUGGCAGCGGUCCAAGUUCCUUGGAACAGGACGUCACAGAGGGUGAGAAUCCCGUACGUGGUCGCUAGCCUUUACCGUGUAAAGCCCCUUCGACGAGUCGAGUUGUUUGGGAAUGCAGCUCUAAAUGGGAGGUAAAUUUCUUCUAAAGCUAAAUACUGGCCAGAGACCGAUAGCGCACAAGUAGAGUGAUCGAAAGAUGAAAAGCACUUUGGAAAGAGAGUUAAAAAGCACGUGAAAUUGUUGAAAGGGAAGCGCUUGCAGCCAGACUUGCCUGUAGUUGCUCAUCCGGGUUUCUACCCGGUGCACUCUUCUAUAGGCAGGCCAGCAUCAGUUUGGGCGGUUGGAUAAAGGUCUCUGUCAUGUACCUCCUUUCGGGGAGAACUUAUAGGGGAGACGACAUGCAACCAGCCUGGACUGAGGUCCGCGCAUCUGCUAGGAUGCUGGCGUAAUGGCUGUAAGCGGCCCGUCUUGAAACACGGACCAAGGAGUCUAACAUCUAUGCGAGUGUUUGGGUGUCAAGCCCGAGCGCGUAAUGAAAGUGAACGGAGGUGGGAACCUUUCGGGGUGCACCAUCGACCGAUCCUGAUGUCUUCGGAUGGAUUUGAGUAAGAGCAUAGCUGUUGGGACCCGAAAGAUGGUGAACUAUGCUUGAAUAGGGUGAAGCCAGAGGAAACUCUGGUGGAGGCUCGCAGCGGUUCUGACGUGCAAAUCGAUCGUCAAAUUUGGGCAUAGGGGCGAAAGACUAAUCGAACUAUCUAGUAGCUGGUUCCUG
RNAcentral lists this ribosomal RNA (934 nucleotides) under Leptosphaerulina australis. RNAcentral's name for it is "eukaryotic LSU rRNA". It matches the Rfam family "Eukaryotic large subunit ribosomal RNA", at positions 1 to 960 of the family's 3401-position model. The record is from RNAcentral. Lineage: Eukaryota; Fungi; Ascomycota; Dothideomycetes; Pleosporales; Didymellaceae.